Oreochromis aureus is the source of this 1761-nucleotide long non-coding RNA. The record is from Ensembl. Lineage: Eukaryota; Metazoa; Chordata; Actinopteri; Cichliformes; Cichlidae.
GUUUUUGUGUUGUAUCGAGUAUCUGCCUGUAUAAAGCAGCAGUUAAACUGAGGACAUAAUGACCACAGGCUUGCUUCUUCUGCUCCUGGUGCUUUCUGGUUCUCAGGCAUCCCAUUACUUUGGGACAGUGAUGACCUUUACCCCUAAAGAAAGCACGGAUGAUGGAUCUCUAAGGGUGGUCUUUGACUACAAGUUGAGCUUUCGCUCAUGCACAGAUGAAGACAAGUGGAAAUGUGCCAGCGGUGACUGUGGUAGUGAGAGUGUGGAGCUGAACAUUGUGGAUGAAGAGGACAGAGAGUGGUGUCAGAGGGAAGGAGUCAUGACUCGGGAGGUUUCCAGCAACUCUCUGUUUCAGCUACGUCUGGCUGGUGGUGACUGGAUUAACAACAAAAACGGUAUUAGUAACUGGAAAGCUGUAACUCAGGUGGACCUGAGGACUCGAUCUGACACAGCUCAACCCAACAAAUCACCUCAGACCACCAUCCUGCCAGCUCUUAGAGUUCCGUCAAACUGUAAGAGAGAAUUCAGCCUGUUGGCCUUUGAUCCUGAUGAAGACGAGGUUCAAUGCAGAUAUGGAGACACAGCAGCAGAUGAGUGUAAUCCUUGUACACCGCCAUCUCUUCUAACCAUCACACCAUCUUGCAAACUGACCUUUCAUUCUGCGAGUAGGAGUGAUGAAGGUGCAUAUGCAAUACAGCUGGAGAUGGAGGACUUCCCCAAGCAGACCAUCUUUCUCCAUCAAAGUGAUGAUGUGGAGACAACAAGGACUCCCAGUGAUGCUCUCAGCAAAAUACCAAUCAGAUUUAGUCUAAUAGUGGACCCGCCUGUGCCAUCCUGUUCAGAGGGAGCCUACCUGCCAAAGUUUCUGCCUCCAACUCCCGUCAGUGGGGCUCAACUGUUGGCCUAUAUUAAUGAAACAUUGAAUAUUACCAUUAUGGCAGAGGCAACCAACACCAUGGUUUUGAAGCUUUUGUUCAGUGGACCACACACCGCUGUGAAACAUGUUGUAUCACAUGGAGAAUUCAUCCUGACCUGGACACCAUCUGACAGUGAAGAUGAAGAAAACCAUCCCAUCUGCUUCGUAGUCCAGGCAGAGUUAAAUACAGCCAAGUAUCACUCUGAGCUACGCUGUGUGAUUGUGAGCAUUCAAAUUAGACCAAUCACCACUCCUCUGCCAACAACUGUUCUGCCUUCAACCACCCCAGAACAAACAACCACUCUUCUGUUCAUAAAUGAAACAGAAGAUCAGGAGAAGGUGCUAUAUGAGUCCACAGGAUCAGGUGACGACAGCAUGGGUGCUGGCAAAGUUGUUGGUAUUGUGUUUGGUGUUGGAGCCGUCGCAGCCAUUGUUGGCGUUGCCUUGUGGGCUUUGAAUCGAAGUUCUCCUGUGCUCUAAAAAAGUUGGAGCUUUGGAUGAAGAUGGGAAAAACAAACCUGUAGAAUCUGGAUAUCACUGGUCUUCUAGCUACUUUCAGCUGCUCGCUUCUUGUGUCCCAAUCCAAUUUCUACAAAUGUAAAUGUUAUAUAAUGCAGAUCUGCAUUUUACUGUCAAAGCCUCACAUAAAUGGUCAAUGAACUGUUUUGAGGCUUUGGCUCCAUCUGUUGGUGAAAUGAUGGCAUUAAUGUACAAGGUUGUUCAUUAAAGCUGCAGGCAGACUCCCCCAGAUGCUGGUGACUCUGUUUUAUCAGAGAAAAAUUUAAAUACUGGCAAAAGGAAAUAUCUACAGAGACAAUAUGUGAAAGUAAAACGUCAUGCAUCAG